Molecule: ribosomal RNA, 417 nt
Filed under: uncultured bacterium
Lineage: Bacteria
Description: bacterial SSU rRNA
Rfam family: Bacterial small subunit ribosomal RNA
Source: RNAcentral
GGAAUAUUGGUCAAUGGGCGAGAGCCUGAACCAGCCAUGCCGCGUGCAGGAAGACGGCCUUCUGGGUUGUAAACUGCUUUUGUACGGGGGUAAAACGGACCUGCGGGUCAAAUUGCACGUACCGUACGAAUAAGCCCCGGCUAACUCCGUUCCAGCCGCCGCGGUAAUACGGAGGGUGCAAGCGUUGUCCGGAUUUAUUGGGUUUAAAGGGUGCGGAGGCGUCCCUACAAGUUUCCGGUGAAAUACUCGAGCUCAACUCGAGAACUGCCGGGAAAACUGUCGGGAUUGAGUGCAGAUGAGGUGGGCGGAAUUUAUGGUGUAGCGGUGAAAUGCAUAGAUACCAUAAAGAACACCGAUAGCGAAGGCAGCUCACUAAACUGUAACUGACGCUGAGGCACGAAAGCAUGGGGAGCGAAC